This 1645-nucleotide ribosomal RNA is filed under the name Escherichia coli. RNAcentral's name for it is "partial 23S ribosomal RNA". It matches the Rfam family "Bacterial large subunit ribosomal RNA", at positions 1292 to 2915 of the family's 2925-position model. Lineage: Bacteria; Pseudomonadati; Pseudomonadota; Gammaproteobacteria; Enterobacterales; Enterobacteriaceae. The record is from RNAcentral.
GAAUGCUGACAUAAGUAACGAUAAAGCGGGUGAAAAGCCCGCUCGCCGGAAGACCAAGGGUUCCUGUCCAACGUUAAUCGGGGCAGGGUGAGUCGACCCCUAAGGCGAGGCCGAAAGGCGUAGUCGAUGGGAAACAGGUUAAUAUUCCUGUACUUGGUGUUACUGCGAAGGGGGGACGGAGAAGGCUAUGUUGGCCGGGCGACGGUUGUCCCGGUUUAAGCGUGUAGGCUGGUUUUCCAGGCAAAUCCGGAAAAUCAAGGCUGAGGCGUGAUGACGAGGCACUACGGUGCUGAAGCGACAAAUGCCCUGCUUCCAGGAAAAGCCUCUAAGCAUCAGGUAACAUUAAAUCGUACCCCAAACCGACACAGGUGGUCAGGUAGAGAAUACCAAGGCGCUUGAGAGAACUCGGGUGAAGGAACUAGGCAAAAUGGUGCCGUAACUUCGGGAGAAGGCACGCUGAUAUGUAGGUGAAGCGACUUGCUCGUGGAGCUGAAAUCAGUCGAAGAUACCAGCUGGCUGCAACUGUUUAUUAAAAACACAGCACUGUGCAAACACGAAAGUGGACGUAUACGGUGUGACGCCUGCCCGGUGCCGGAAGGUUAAUUGAUGGGGUUAGCGGUAACGCGAAGCUCUUGAUCGAAGCCCCGGUAAACGGCGGCCGUAACUAUAACGGUCCUAAGGUAGCGAAAUUCCUUGUCGGGUAAGUUCCGACCUGCACGAAUGGCGUAAUGAUGGCCAGGCUGUCUCCACCCGAGACUCAGUGAAAUUGAACUCGCUGUGAAGAUGCAGUGUACCCGCGGCAAGACGGAAAGACCCCGUGAACCUUUACUAUAGCUUGACACUGAACAUUGAGCCUUGAUGUGUAGGAUAGGUGGGAGGCUUUGAAGUGUGGACGCCAGUCUGCAUGGAGCCGACCUUGAAAUACCACCCUUUAAUGUUUGAUGUUCUAACGUGGGCCCCUUACCGGGGUUGCGGACAGUGUCUGGUGGGUAGUUUGACUGGGGCGGUCUCCUCCUAAAGAGUAACGGAGGAGCACGAAGGUUGGCUAAUCCUGGUCGGACAUCAGGAGGUUAGUGCAAUGGCAUAAGCCAGCUUGACUGCGAGCGUGACGGCGCGAGCAGGUGCGAAAGCAGGUCAUAGUGAUCCGGUGGUUCUGAAUGGAAGGGCCAUCGCUCAACGGAUAAAAGGUACUCCGGGGAUAACAGGCUGAUACCGCCCAAGAGUUCAUAUCGACGGCGGUGUUUGGCACCUCGAUGUCGGCUCAUCACAUCCUGGGGCUGAAGUAGGUCCCAAGGGUAUGGCUGUUCGCCAUUUAAAGUGGUACGCGAGCUGGGUUUAGAACGUCGUGAGACAGUUCGGUCCCUAUCUGCCGUGGGCGCUGGAGAACUGAGGGGGGCUGCUCCUAGUACGAGAGGACCGGAGUGGACGCAUCACUGGUGUUCGGGUUGUCAUGCCAAUGGCACUGCCCGGUAGCUAAAUGCGGAAGAGAUAAGUGCUGAAAGCAUCUAAGCACGAAACUUGCCCCGAGAUGAGUUCUCCCUGACUCCUUGAGAGUCCUGAAGGAACGUUGAAGACGACGACGUUGAUAGGCCGGGUGUGUAAGCGCAGCGAUGCGUUGAGCUAACCGGUACUAAUGAACCGUGAG